UCUAGACCUAGCUGCUAUAGAAGCUCCAUCUAUCAAUGGCUAAGACCCUGGUCUUAGUGUAUAGGAGUUAUUGAAAAAUAAAGGAGCAAUAAUCACCUUCUUGUUCUAUCAAGAGGGUGGUAUUGCUCCUUUAUUUUCUUUUCCUUUUAUUUAUUCUAGUAUUUUAUUUUUAUAAAUUUUUAUUCUUUUCUUUGCAUUACGCAGAAAGCAAAGGACUUUUAGUUUUAUGAGGUUUGAGUAUCAUACUUUAUUUUUUUUAAUUUGUAAUUAAUAUUAUAUUAUAUUUUGAAUCUUUGUAUCUCCGAAAUAGAAAUAAAAACUAGAAAUACUAAUAAGAAAGAAAAUGGUCGAAACGAAAUUCGAAAUAGAAUAGAAUUGAAAAUGAAAUAUUUAAUAUUCUAAAUAAAUUCGAAUUCAAUAAAUUCGAAUAAGAAAUAAAUAGAAGAAAUAAGAGUGAAGGGGGCGGAUGUAGCCAAGUGGAUCAAGGCAGUGGAUUGUGAAUCCACCAUGCGCG
This 514-nucleotide unclassified non-coding RNA is filed under the name Ochrosia poweri. RNAcentral describes it as "partial miscellaneous RNA". The stretch from base 463 to 514 matches the Rfam family "tRNA", at positions 1 to 49 of the family's 71-position model. The record is from RNAcentral. Lineage: Eukaryota; Viridiplantae; Streptophyta; Magnoliopsida; Gentianales; Apocynaceae.